AGCGGGCAUCCGGGGAGUCAGGACAGACCUCAAAGGGAAAAUCAGACGUAACGUAGGGUUGGCGUCCACUGAGGAGGUUAGUCUUGAGUAAAACAGAAGACUUGCCGCAUGCUCAAGGUGCGGGAAAGGAAUGAGUAGCUGGAAAGCAUAGCUGAGGCGUCACUCAUUGCGAAGGGAGAAUUCGUGG
RNAcentral lists this ribosomal RNA (187 nucleotides) under Colpidium sp. Eur_39. RNAcentral describes it as "partial 23S ribosomal RNA". Lineage: Eukaryota; Ciliophora; Oligohymenophorea; Hymenostomatida; Turaniellidae. The record is from RNAcentral.